RNAcentral lists this transfer RNA (73 nucleotides) under Salmo salar (Atlantic salmon). It matches the Rfam family "tRNA". From Rfam's summary of the family: Transfer RNA (tRNA) molecules are approximately 80 nucleotides in length. Their secondary structure includes four short double-helical elements and three loops (D, anti-codon, and T loops). Further hydrogen bonds mediate the characteristic L-shaped molecular structure. tRNAs have two regions of fundamental functional importance: the anti-codon, which is responsible for specific mRNA codon recognition, and the 3' end, to which the tRNAs corresponding amino acid is attached (by aminoacyl-tRNA synthetases). tRNAs cope with the degeneracy of the genetic code in two manners: having more than one tRNA (with a specific anti-codon) for a particular amino acid; and 'wobble' base-pairing, i.e. permitting non-standard base-pairing at the 3rd anti-codon position. Lineage: Eukaryota; Metazoa; Chordata; Actinopteri; Salmoniformes; Salmonidae. The record is from Rfam by way of RNAcentral.
UUCCCUGUGGCUCAGUUGGUAGAGCAUGGUGUUUACAACGCCAGGGUUGUGGGUUCGAUUCCCACUGGGGGGC